UGUAUUUUAGUAUUAGAUGUACAUAAGCAUUUGAGGCUUAAAGAAUCAGUUUAAAUCUGUUAAAUGUAA
Molecule: transfer RNA, 69 nt
Filed under: Apatetica glabra
Lineage: Eukaryota; Metazoa; Arthropoda; Insecta; Coleoptera; Staphylinidae
Description: tRNA-Gln
Source: RNAcentral